This 389-nucleotide unclassified non-coding RNA is filed under the name Hevea brasiliensis (rubber tree). Lineage: Eukaryota; Viridiplantae; Streptophyta; Magnoliopsida; Malpighiales; Euphorbiaceae. The record is from RNAcentral.
UUAUUAUUAUUAUUAUUAUUAUGAAUAUUUUUAUUCAUGGCUUGUAAAUCUUGGAAAGAGCUUGCAAAACAUUAACUUGCAACCUCAAACGCAAUAUAUAAUCCGCCGUCAUUAAGAAAAGCCGAUCCGGCUGCAACCCUUGUCCUCCUGGGAUUAGUCUCUGCAACUUCUUUACCUUCCUUCGGACUGAGCCGCGCACUGCUCUCCUCCGCCGCCUCCUCCACUUCACCUUGGCAAAAUCGCUGCAUCCAUUAAUCUCCAUUGUCUCUCUCUUUAUCGAAAACGAAAAAGGACAGGCAAUGCCUAUAAUGGUAGUCGAGAGGAAAGGGAGAGAGUUCUGGUGUUUGAAAAGUUGCAGAGAAAAGAAGAGCUAUAACCUAUAAAACGAU